UACGAAGGGGGCGAGCGUUGUUCGGAGUUACUGGGCGUAAAGGGCGCGUAGGCGGCGAUCCAAGUUAGGCGUGAAAGCCCCGGGCUUAACCUGGGAAUAGCGCUUAAGACUGGACUGCUUGAGUGCGGGAGAGGUGAGUGGAAUUCCCAGUGUAGAGGUGAAAUUCGUAGAUAUUGGGAAGAACACCGGUGGCGAAGGCGGCCAUCUGGACCGCAACUGACGCUGAGGCGCGAAAGCGUGGGGAGCAAACAGG
This 253-nucleotide ribosomal RNA is filed under the name uncultured bacterium. RNAcentral describes it as "partial 16S ribosomal RNA". It matches the Rfam family "Bacterial small subunit ribosomal RNA", at positions 524 to 776 of the family's 1533-position model. The record is from RNAcentral.